GUUAGUUAACUUUUAUUAUCUCUUUUAUUUUCCAACUUUUCCUUAGUUUAUUAGGGUUCUAUAUUAGCUUCUGUUACUUCAUCAUCUUCAAAAGCCUUUGCUUAUCCCUUGUCCCUAUCUUGCAAGAAAAUUUGUCCAAAUACUAGUGUUAUGCUGCUGCACAAAAGCAUCCUUGCUGUCCAAAACAGCCCUGCAACAAUAGACAAAACAGUCUACAAACUUACUACAUAACCACCACCAAACUUGCCCAAAAUGUUACUACAAAACCUGCAUCAAAAAGUGAUAGAUCAGUAUACUAAAUCAGUUCAAAAGCUCUCCCGUUUCCCCCCAAAACUCCCCACAAUUCUCCUAUAAAAUUACAUCAUUUACAGUAGGAAGAGGAGGAGAGGAAAUACACACCAAAACCCUAGUCCUAACUCUCUCCGUCUCGAAUCCUCCAAGCCCUCACUCUAAGUCUCUGCUCACUCAACCUACCUCAAAUCACUCAUAACAACCAUAAAAUCACUGACCUGCAGUCACCAAUAACACAAACUGAUUUACACAGAAUCACAACAACUCACGCAUCAACUUCGACGAUUUUCCAGCAACAACACAAUAUUCAUAUCGCACAAAACUCAGCCACAACAACGCACAGAUUCGCAGAAAAAGAAGCAAAUGCACAAAGGAAUUAGAAGAGAGAAAUUAAAAAUUCGAACCUGAGCGGAUUCGUCACUACCGUAACAUCCGGACGAUGGCAUCCAGGCUUGUUAAUCAUGCACGAAGUCCCUAAAUAUGAACUUGAUCCUGUAGAGCUUGAUUUUACCAACAGUGUGGAGAUAACAAACAAUUCCGUUGCAUGCACAUGAUUCUUCCAUCCCAUGAUCUUUUCUUAAAUGACAGGGGACUUUCUGUAUUGCGUUGUGGCGUGGGACCAAGGUUGCGGUAAAAUAGUUUGGUUCUGUUAUAUGCUUUAACAAUAAUUAAUAAUUAAUAUACUUGAGUUCUAACAGGGAGGCUUUCAGAGACGAGAUUGCUCUGUUCCAGAAGAUUCCUCAUCCAAAUGAUGAUAAAAAGUGGUUUCUAUCUCUUAUACACUCUAAUUUUAUUGUUUUACCUGGAACAUGGAAAUGAGUUUUUGAUGAUAAAAAGUGUUAUUGUUUUUAUUUUAGUUUGAUACCUUUCUGUUUUUCAAUGACUCAUUAACAAGGAACAUGUUAUAAUUUUUAUAAGAUGUUUGUAAUGUUUUAUUUUUUUGUUUAUUUUCCAGAUAGCUAUUUUUGUAAUAAUUUGCGAAUGACUUUACUUACAAAUGCAUCUGUUGCAAGAGUUCAAUUCAUAGUUGGAGUAUUCAGAGCUUUCAAAACUAAAGGUUUCGGGUUUUAAAAGAUUAGCAAAAAAGUAUCCAUAAACAUAUCACCAAGCUAGUUGACUCUAGCAAGUCAAAACAUAUAGUUUUCUUUAUUUUUCAUUUGAAUUUAACACUCGUUUCCUAUCUCGUUAAUUUUCUUUAUGUUCAAACUAUUUGAGUUCUACAUUGAGUUCCAACCUCAAUUAACCUCAAUUUGCGCGUAGCCACCCUGAGCAUCUCUUUUCAGAGACAACGACAUUGUUGUUUUCACAGGCUCGACUCCUAUGCGGCUAUGAGACUUGUGCAUUUGUCGAAAAAGUCAAAGCUAUGAGACUACCUUUGUUAGAGAGUUUACUGAAGGAUGAGCGGUGAAACCACAAUAGAAGUAAUGAGGUGAUCCUCUCUAUCUAUAUGAUUUUGACAAAGUUUGCAAAAACCGAUACAAAUGAUGAAUAUUUCACUAAACUCAUUCCUUUGGUGAGGAGUGCAAACAAGUGGAUCAGGUAAUUCAUAAUUCAUGCUAUGCAUUUGUCUUUUUUUUAAUUUUGUUUUUAAUUAUGAAUUAUUAAAUUAAAUCUUAUUAGUUACUAAUAUUAUUUUGAAAAUUAAAUCUUAUUAGUUAUGAAUAAGAUUUAAUUUAAUUAUUCAUAACUAAAAACAAAAUAAGAAAAGAGAUAAAUGCAUAUGAUGAAUUAACUGAUUUGUAUUGGUUUUUGCAAACUUCUCCUAAAUAUUCAUCAUCAUUUGUAUUGGUUUUUGCAAACUCCUCUAAUUUGCACUUGAGUGUAAUGAAAUAUUCAUCAUCAUUUGUAUUGGUUUUUGCAAACUUCUCCUAAAUCAUAUAAAUAGAGAGGAUUACCUCAUUACUGAUUUAACCGUUCAUCUUUCAGCGCACUCUCCAACAAAGGUAGCCCCAUAGCUUUGACUUUUUCGACAAAUCCACGAGCCUCAUAGCCAUAUAGGAGUCGAAUAAAGGAAACUGUAUGCUCUGGCUUUGCUAGAGUCAACGAGGACCGAUAUUUUUUUGCUAAUCCUUUGAAACCGGAAACCUUUAGCUUUGAAAUAUCUGAAUAUUCUUGAAUUUCUUGGAACGGUUGCAUUUAUAAGGUUCGGUCAUUGGCAAAUUAUUACAAAAAUAACUAUCUGGAAAAUAAUAAAAAAUAAAAAUAAAACAUUACAAACAUCUCAUAAAAAUUCUGACAUCUUCUUGUUAAUGAAUCAUUAAAAAACAAAGAUGAUUCAAACUAAAACAUUAACACUUUUUAUCAUUAAGAAAUCCUUUCUAUGUUGCACAUAAAUCAAUAUAAUUUCUUGGUGCUGUGACACAGAGUAGUCCAAUGAUGAUUAUGACAAAAUAUCUUGCCAAGGGAGAUCUUCGAGAUUUCAUGAAAAGAAAAGGAGCUUUAAAACCAAGUACAGCGGUUAGAUUUGCACUUGAUAUUGCUAGGUAUUUGACACACACAUGCUUUAGAUUUUAUUUUGGUUAUUCUAUUUGCAAGUUGCAACAUUGUAUCACGAAAUCAGCACUUGGUCCCAUUCAAGUGGGAUGUGCUCUGAUGUUCAGCUGAUCAGUCGAGUUGGUCAUAAGAUCAUCUCGAUAUUUGUUUCAAUCCUCCCUCCAUAUCUCUCAGCCUAGAGAAUCUCAUCUAAUGAGUUUGAUUAAAGAGAAAGACCGAGCGGAAGAGAUAUCUGCUAAAGAAGAAAGUGUGUUAAGAGAAAUGCUUCAAAUUCUCUGCCCCUGUGCCCAGUGUUUCCCGAUAUAGGAAAAGUAGUGUUUUAGGAAUAAGAAAGUAAUAGAAAUCAAGAAAAACUAUAUAAAAGGUAAGAAGCUAAUAUAUUAUAAUUUAAAAAAAAACAUAAUUAAUUACAUAAAUAUGUGUUCAUAGGCUGAUUAAGUGAAGCCCAUGUUUAAUUUGGCUAAGUAAUGGUCCAAUCUGUUUGUCCAGUAACUUAAGUGUGUGAAUAUCACGCACAAAAAGAAACAAGUUAUUAAAUUAAAUUAUUCAAUUAAAUUAUUCAAAUAUUGUUCUUGAACAGGUUUCUUCUCAAAAAUGUUCUGAUUGCAUGUCCUAAGAAGCAUCAUGGCUUUAACAUUUAUCUCUAGGUUUAUACUUUCUGGAUAAAAAUAUGCAUUAUGUUGUAGAGAUAACUUUUCAAAAUUCACGUAUGUGAAUCAUGUUAAGAUGAGACAUCUACUUGGUUCUGAUUCUUUGAUGUCUCUACUGCGAUGUUUGUCUUUUUUUCUCUACUGAAGUGUCACUUAACACCAUUUCUUUUUAUAUUAUGCCGGGGAGUGAGUUACUUGCAUGAAAAUAAACCAUCACCCAUUAUUCACCGUGAUCUCGAGCCUCCGUAAGUUUCUGUUGAAUUAUUGUUUUUUCCUUUCUCCUUUUAUGUGAAGUUCGAAUGUCUGGAUUAAUCAUCUGAUAUAUUUACACUUUUUAUCAAUGUUGCUUAUGAGUAAACUAACAGUAAUAUAUUACGGGAUGAUUUCGGCCACCUAAAAGUUGCAGAGUUUGGAGUUAGCAAGUUGCUAACAGUUAAAGACAAGCCGCUAACUUGCCAAGAUACUUCUUGUGGGUGCUGCUUUUCUUUAGAACUGUCAUUAAUGCAUACUUAAAAAAUCUAAAUAUCUAAAUAGUAUAUUCUCUUAUUCAUAUAGGACACUGAUAUUUUUUAUGCAGUGGUCUUAUAUAUCUUGCUUCAUGGAAUAAUUUUCUAAAACGAGGAACUUUGUUAUUUUUGU
Vicia villosa (hairy vetch) is the source of this 4073-nucleotide long non-coding RNA. RefSeq lists it as uncharacterized. The record is from RefSeq and is a predicted model, not a curated record. Lineage: Eukaryota; Viridiplantae; Streptophyta; Magnoliopsida; Fabales; Fabaceae. The transcript has 3 exons.